This 493-nucleotide ribosomal RNA is filed under the name uncultured bacterium. Its description in RNAcentral is "partial 16S ribosomal RNA". It matches the Rfam family "Bacterial small subunit ribosomal RNA", at positions 28 to 507 of the family's 1533-position model. The record is from RNAcentral.
GACGAACGCUGGCGGCGUGCCUAACACAUGCAAGUUGAGCGACGAACCAGGGCUUGCCCUGGGGCAAAGCAGCGAACGGGUGAGUAACACGUGGGUAACCUACCCCGAUAACCGGGACAACCCGAGGAAACUCGGGCUAAUACCGGAUGUGCUCACUGGACUUCGGUUCAGUGCGUAAAGGAAGCUUCGGCCUCCGUAUCGGGAGGGGCCCGCGGCCCAUUAGUUUGUUGGUGAGGUAACGGCUCACCAAGACCGCGAUGGGUAGCUGGUCUGAGAGGACGAUCAGACACACUGGGACUGAGACACGGCCCAGACUCCUACGGGAGGCAGCAGUGGGGAAUCUUGCGCAAAGCGCGAAAGCGUGACGCAGCAACGCCGCGUGGGGGAAGAAGGCCUUCGGGUUGUAAACCCCUUUCAGGAGGGACGAAGGUUCGGCGGUGAAUAGCCGUCCGGACUGACGGUACCCCCACAAGAAGCCCCGGCUAACUACGUG